GUUUACAAUUUUGUAAUUCAACUCGACAUCCAUUACCACUCGCGUUAAAAAAAUGACGGUUCACAGGGUUAAGGGUGAUCAUAACGCCCAAAGGCAUUACAAAUUUUACUAAUGAUCCUUCCGCAGGUUCACCUACGGAAA
RNAcentral lists this unclassified non-coding RNA (141 nucleotides) under uncultured fungus. Its description in RNAcentral is "sequence contains ITS1". The record is from RNAcentral. Lineage: Eukaryota; Fungi.